Molecule: ribosomal RNA, 524 nt
Filed under: Escherichia coli
Lineage: Bacteria; Pseudomonadati; Pseudomonadota; Gammaproteobacteria; Enterobacterales; Enterobacteriaceae
Description: partial 23S ribosomal RNA
Rfam family: Bacterial large subunit ribosomal RNA
Source: RNAcentral
UUGUUGGGUAGGGGAGCGUUCUGUAAGCCUGUGAAGGUGUGCUGUGAGGCAUGCUGGAGGUAUCAGAAGUGCGAAUGCUGACAUAAGUAACGAUAAAGCGGGUGAAAAGCCCGCUCGCCGGAAGACCAAGGGUUCCUGUCCAACGUUAAUCGGGGCAGGGUGAGUCGACCCCUAAGGCGAGGCCGAAAGGCGUAGUCGAUGGGAAACAGGUUAAUAUUCCUGUACUUGGUGUUACUGCGAAGGGGGGACGGAGAAGGCUAUGUUGGCCGGGCGACGGUUGUCCCGGUUUAAGCGUGUAGGCUGGUUUUCCAGGCAAAUCCGGAAAAUCAAGGCUGAGGCGUGAUGACGAGGCACUACGGUGCUGAAGCAACAAAUGCCCUGCUUCCAGGAAAAGCCUCUAAGCAUCAGGUAACAUCAAAUCGUACCCCAAACCGACACAGGUGGUCAGGUAGAGAAUACCAAGGCGCUUGAGAGAACUCGGGUGAAGGAACUAGGCAAAAUGGUGCCGUAACUUCGGGAGAAGG